RNAcentral lists this ribosomal RNA (253 nucleotides) under uncultured bacterium. Its description in RNAcentral is "partial 16S ribosomal RNA". It matches the Rfam family "Bacterial small subunit ribosomal RNA", at positions 524 to 776 of the family's 1533-position model. The record is from RNAcentral.
UACGGGGGGGGCAAGCGUUGUUCGGAUUCACUGGGCGUAAAGGGUGCGCAGGCGGCCAAGUGUGUGAGGCGUGAAAGCCCAGGGCUUAACCCUGGAAUUGCACCUCAAACUACAUGGCUAGAGCAUUGGAGAGGGAAGCGGAAUUCACGGUGUAGCAGUGAAAUGCGUAGAUAUCGUGAGGAACACCAGAGGCGAAGGCGGCUUCCUGGACAAUUGCUGACGCUCAGGCACGAAAGCGUGGGGAGCAAAAGGG